This is a long non-coding RNA of Acanthochromis polyacanthus (spiny chromis), 665 nucleotides long. RefSeq lists it as uncharacterized. Lineage: Eukaryota; Metazoa; Chordata; Actinopteri; Pomacentridae. The transcript has 3 exons. The record is from RefSeq and is a predicted model, not a curated record.
UAGACUUUAGACUUGACAUCGUGGUGUGUGCAGUAAAGCCCAGCCAGGCAGUUGGAGAUGGAGAAGAACAUCAAAAAACGUAAAGGAGGGGCUGAAAAGCUCAGAGAAAAGAGAUAAAAGCUCUCGAAGCAAACACAGGGGCCACCUGUUGAUGAAGAGGCUGAGCCAACAAGCGAGGAGGAGGAUGUAGAUCGAUGUGAAGAAAGCGAGACUGGAGUGGAGGACAGUCUCUUCUGCUCUGUGGACCAGGAGCUUCCAGGGAAAGAGGCCUGGCGACAUUUCUGUGUCUCCUGUGAAGCAACAACAAGCAGACAAUCAGCGUCGCUCUGCUUCUCCUCCUCAGUCUGACUGAAGGCAGCAGCUGCCAAGUAGAAGCUGCAGUUACCUGAACUCAGUUUAUAUGAAGAAACCAGCUGCAGUUAAACUGGAAGACAGGCCACAGUGAUGCAGGACGAGAGACGAUCUGACCUCCAGCAUCCAGCAGCAAACAGGACGAUUUAUUGAGUUUUAUCUUAUUUUACAGAUUUUUUUCCUGUUUUAACUGACAGAUAAUAACUAGUCAAAUCACAAAAUAACAAUAAUUUACAUUUUAACCUUGAAUGUAAAAUGACACCAUUUUUACUAUAUUAAAAUCUACAAAAAAUCAUUAUUUUUCAAAGAAAAAA